RNAcentral lists this ribosomal RNA (550 nucleotides) under Haemulon maculicauda. RNAcentral describes it as "partial 16S ribosomal RNA". It matches the Rfam family "Bacterial large subunit ribosomal RNA", at positions 1858 to 2606 of the family's 2925-position model. Lineage: Eukaryota; Metazoa; Chordata; Actinopteri; Lutjaniformes; Haemulidae. The record is from RNAcentral.
CCUGCCCUGUGACUAUAUGUUUAACGGCCGCGGUAUUUUGACCGUGCGAAGGUAGCGCAAUCACUUGUCUUUUAAAUAGGGACCUGUAUGAAUGGCAUAACGAGGGCUUAGCUGUCUCCUUUUUCAAGUCAGUGAAAUUGAUCUCCCCGUGCAGAAGCGGGGAUAAGACCAUAAGACGAGAAGACCCUGUGGAGCUUUAGACACCAAGGUAGAUCAUGUUAAGCACCCCAAAACAAAGGGUCAAACUAGAUGAGCCCUACCCCCAUGUCUUCGGUUGGGGCGACCAUGGGGUAAAACAAACCCCCCACGCGGAAAGGGAGAACUUUCCUCCUACAACCUAGAGCCCCCGCUCUAAUAAACAGAACUUCUGACCUAAAGAUCCGGCAAAGCCGAUCAACGGACCAAGUUACCCCAGGGAUAACAGCGCAAUCCUCUUUUAGAGCCCAUAUCGACAAGAGGGUUUACGACCUCGAUGUUGGAUCAGGACAUCCUAAUGGUGCAGCCGCUAUUAAGGGUUCGUUUGUUCAACGAUUAAAGUCCUACGUGAUCU